AGCUUGCUCCCGGAUGUUAGCGGCGGACGGGUGAGUAACACGUGGGUAACCUGCCUGUAAGACUGGGAUAACUCCGGGAAACCGGAGCUAAUACCGGAUAGUUCCUUGAACCGCAUGGUUCAAGGAUGAAAGACGGUUUCGGCUGUCACUUACAGAUGGACCCGCGGCGCAUUAGCUAGUUGGUGGGGUAAUGGCUCACCAAGGCGACGAUGCGUAGCCGACCUGAGAGGGUGAUCGGCCACACUGGGACUGAGACACGGCCCAGACUCCUACGGGAGGCAGCAGUAGGGAAUCUUCCGCAAUGGACGAAAGUCUGACGGAGCAACGCCGCGUGAGUGAUGAAGGUUUUCGGAUCGUAAAGCUCUGUUGUUAGGGAAGAACAAGUGCGAGAGUAACUGCUCGCACCUUGACGGUACCUAACCAGAAAGCCACGGCUAACUACGUGCCAGCAGCCGCGGUAAUACGUAGGUGGCAAGCGUUGUCCGGAAUUAUUGGGCGUAAAGGGCUCGCAGGCGGUUUCUUAAGUCUGAUGUGAAAGCCCCCCGCUCAACCGGGGAGGGUCAUUGGGAACUGGGAAACUUGAGUGCAGAAGAGGAGAGUGGAAUUCCACGUGUAGCGGUGAAAUGCGUAGAGAUGUGGAGGAACACCAGUGGCGAAGGCGACUCUCUGGUCUGUAACUGACGCUGAGGAGCGAAAGCGUGGGGAGCGAACAGGAUUAGAUACGGGUGGUAGUCCACGCCGUAAACGAUGAGUGCUAAGUGUUAGGGGG
This 769-nucleotide ribosomal RNA is filed under the name Bacillus sp. Bo01. RNAcentral describes it as "bacterial SSU rRNA". It matches the Rfam family "Bacterial small subunit ribosomal RNA", at positions 77 to 830 of the family's 1533-position model. The record is from RNAcentral. Lineage: Bacteria; Bacillati; Bacillota; Bacilli; Caryophanales; Bacillaceae.